RNAcentral lists this ribosomal RNA (402 nucleotides) under bacterium. RNAcentral describes it as "partial 16S ribosomal RNA". It matches the Rfam family "Bacterial small subunit ribosomal RNA", at positions 355 to 776 of the family's 1533-position model. The record is from RNAcentral.
UGGGGAAUUUUGCACAAUGGGGGAAACCCUGAUGCAGCGACGCCGCGUGAUUUAGAAGGCCUUCGGGUUGUAAAAAUCUUUUUUACGGGAUGAAAAUGACAGCACCGUAAGAAUAAGGUCCGGCUAAAUACGUGCCAGCAGCCGCGGUAAUACGUAUGGACCGAGCGUUGUCCGGAAUCAUUGGGCGUAAAGGGUACGUAGGCGGCCUAGUAAGUUAGUAGUGAAAUAAUAUAGCUCAACUAUAUAAAGCUUUUAAAACUGCUAGGCUUGAGAGAUGGAAGGGAAAGUGGAAUUCCUAGUGUAGCGGUGAAAUGCGCAGAUAUUAGGAAGAAUACCGGUGGCGAAGGCGACUUUCUGGUCAUCAUCUGACGCUAAAGUACGAAAGCGUGGGUAGCAAACAGG